RNAcentral lists this non-coding RNA (76 nucleotides) under Cellulomonas sp. Its description in RNAcentral is "c-di-GMP sequence". It matches the Rfam family "c-di-GMP-I-GGC riboswitch aptamer". The record is from RNAcentral. Lineage: Bacteria; Bacillati; Actinomycetota; Actinomycetes; Micrococcales; Cellulomonadaceae.
AGCGAUAACGGCAAACCCUCCGCGAGGAGGGGACGCAAAGCCACGGGACCCACGACGGUCAGCCGGGCUACCGAAC